This is a non-coding RNA of Mus caroli (Ryukyu mouse), 1917 nucleotides long. NCBI's taxonomy places the organism in Eukaryota, Metazoa, Chordata, Mammalia, Rodentia, Muridae. The record is from RefSeq and is a predicted model, not a curated record.
UCUCUGGUGGACACUGGCAUUGGCAUGACCAAGGCUGACCUCAUUAAUAACUUGGGAACCAUUGCUAAGUCUGGCACAAAGGCAUUCAUGGAGGCUCUCCAGGCUGGUGCAGACAUCUCCAUGAUUGGGCAGUUUGGUGUAGGAUUCUACUCGGCCUAUCUAGUGGCAGAGAAAGUGGUUGUGAUCACAAAGCACAACGAUGAUGAGCAGUAUGCCUGGGAGCCGUCUGCUGGUGGACCCUUCACCGUCCAUGCAGACCAUCGUGAGCCCAUUGACCCAAAGUGAUCCUUCACCUCAAAGAAGAUCAGACAGUACUUAGAGGAGAGGAGGGUCAAGGAAGUGGGGAAGAAACAUUUGCAGUUCAUAGGCUAUCCCAUCAUCCUCUAUUUGGAAAAGGAGAGGGAGAAGGAGAUCAGUGAUGAUAAGGCAGAGGAAGAGAAAGGUGAGAAAGAGGAGGAAGAUAAGGAGGAUGAGGAGAAGCCUAAGAUUGAAGAUGUGGGAUCUGAUGAGGAAGAUGACAGUGGCAAAGACAAGAAAAAGAAAACAAAGAAGAUCAAGGAGAAGUACAUUGACCAGGAGGAGCUGAACAAGAGAGCCUAUCUGGACCAGAAAUCCAGAUGACAUCACUCAAGAGGAGUAUGGUGAAUUCUAUAAGAGCCUCAACAAUGAUUGGGAGGACCAGUUGGCACUUAAGCACUUCUCUGUAGAAGGUCAGUUGGAAUUCAGGGCAUUGCUCUUCAUUCCCUGCUAGCUCCCUUUGACCUUUUUGAGAAGAAGAAGAACAACAACAUCACAUUGUAUGUCUGCUGGGUGUUCAUCAUGGACAGCUGUAAUGAGCUGAUAUCUGAGUCCCUCAAUUUUAUCCGUGGUGUGGUUGUCUCCGAGGACCUGCGCCUGAACAUCUCCAAAGAAUUGCUCCAGCAGAACAAGAUCCUGAAAGUCAUCCACAAAAAUACUAUGAAGAAGUGCCUUGAGCUCUUCUCUGAGUUGGCUGAAAACAAAGAGAACUACAAGAAGUUCUAUGAGGCGUUCUCCAAGAAUUUAAAGCUUGGAAUUCAUGAAGAUUCCACUAACCGUCGCCGCCUCUCUGAGCUCCUUCUCUAUCAUACCUCUCAGUCUGGAGAUGAGAUGACUUCCCUGUCAGAGUAUGGAUCUCCCAUGAAGGAGACACGGAAGUCCAUCUACUAUAUCACUGGUGAGAGCAAAGAGCAAGUAGCCAACACUGCCUUUGUGGAGUGUGUGAGGAAGUGGGGCUUCGAGGUGGUGUAAAUGACUAAGCCUAGUGAUGAGGACUGUGUGCAGCAGCUCAAGGAGUUUGAUGCGAAGAGUCUGGUCUUGGUGACUAAGGAGGGCCUGGAGCUAUCAGAGAAUGAGGAAGAGAAGAAGAAAAUGGAGGAGAGCAAGGUAAAAUUUGAGAAUCUCUGCAAGCUCCUGAAAGAGAUCUUGGAGAAGAAGGUUGAAAAAGUGACAAUCUCCAAUAGGUUUGUAUCUUCCCCCCUGCUGCAUUGUGACAAGCACCUAUGGCUGGACAGCCAACAUGGAAUGGAUCAUGAAGGCCUGGGCACUGUGAGACAACUCUACGAUGAGCUACAUGAUGGCCAAAAACACCUGGUGAUCAACCCUGACCACCUACACCACCCCAUCGUGGAAACCCUGCAGCAGAAGGCUGAGGCAGACAAAAACGACAAAGCUGUCAAGAACCUGGUGGUGCUGCUGUUUGAAACUGCUUUGCUCUUCUCUGGUUUCUCACUUGAGGAUCCCCAAACCCACUCCAACUGCAUCUACUGCAUGUUUAAACUAGGCUUGGGCACCGAUGAAGAUGAGGUCACUGCAGAGGGGCCCAGUGCUGCUGUUCCUGAUGAGAUUCCCCCACUGGAAGGUGAUGAGGAUGCCUCGCGCAUGGAAGAAGUGGAUUAG